GAUGAACGCUGGCGGCGUGCCUAACACAUGCAAGUCGAGCGAGAUAAAUGAGAGUGGAGACUUCGGUCAAAGCGAUCAUUUUGAAAGCGGCGGACGGGUGAGUAACGCGUGAGCAAUCUGCACCAUACAAAGGGAUACCCACUGGAAACGGUGAUUAAUACCUUAUAAGACCACGAAGUCGCCUGGCUUAGUGGCAAAAGAUUUAUCGGUAUGGGAUGAGCUCGCGUCUGAUUAGCUAGUUGGUGAGGUAAUGGCUCACCAAGGCGACGAUCAGUAGCCGACCUGAGAGGGUGAACGGCCACACUGGAACUGAGACACGGUCCAGACUCCUACGGGAGGCAGCAGUGGGGAAUAUUGCACAAUGGGCGCAAGCCUGAUGCAGCAACGCCGCGUGAAUGAUGAAGGCCUUCGGGUCGUAAAGUUCUGUCCUAAGGGAAGAAUACAGUGACGGUACCUUAGGAGGAAGCCCCGGCUAGCUACGUGCCAGCCGCCGCUGUAA
Molecule: ribosomal RNA, 499 nt
Filed under: uncultured bacterium
Lineage: Bacteria
Description: partial 16S ribosomal RNA
Rfam family: Bacterial small subunit ribosomal RNA
Source: RNAcentral